UUGAACUCAUCGUCGUACACAGUAUUAUGUUAACGUUUUAUAUAAUGAAAAUGCACCUGGAAUCGAAUCUGCAUAAAACGGACCCGCAGCAAAGGAAUCAAUGCCAGUUUGGAAUUGUUUCUGCACCAGAAAAUCGCACAUCGCCUCGAGAUUAUCAUGAAGUUCUUCAUAUUUAUUGCAUUUGUCGUCAUCGCAUUGGUGGCUGGUGUAUAUUCGAAGCCUUCUCGAGAUUGUCCAGCCGGCAUGGAGUAUCAUCCAUGUGGUAUUUGCCAAGAGGAGCGAACUUGUGAAACCAAAGGUCGUCCUUGCCCUAUAGUUUGCUUUCCCGCACGCUGCAGUUGCCCCUACGAUAAAGUUCUUAAUAGAAACAAUGAAUGUGUUUAUAUUGACCAAUGUUAAUAGAAAACGGAAAAAUGUUUAAACGUUGCAAGCGUAAUGAAAAAUUGAGAAAUUUCUAAUUACUGUGAAAUAAAUUGAUAUUCACUCAGAA
Culex pipiens pallens (northern house mosquito) is the source of this 490-nucleotide long non-coding RNA. RefSeq lists it as uncharacterized. The transcript has 2 exons. NCBI's taxonomy places the organism in Eukaryota, Metazoa, Arthropoda, Insecta, Diptera, Culicidae. The record is from RefSeq and is a predicted model, not a curated record.